AGCAGAAACAAGAAAGCAUCCCUCAAAAACACAAAGUCUAUGAAAUGCUGAAUUCUUGAGGAAGAAAAAAACUUCUCAGAAAGAAGAAAAGUUUUUGAAAUGCUCCACUGUCUACACCUAAGGAGACAGAAAAAAAUAUUAUUGGGGUCUACAUCAAGUAAACUGGAAUUACAGUGACAGAGAAAGAACCCAAGCAGAGGAUUGUUCUUUUGACGGUCUUGAGGAGUUUAUUCCACAUAGAGCUGAUGAAUGAACAAGCAGAGAGACUCAUUGAGGCGGGAGGUCUGCUGGACCCCAGGAGUUUCAAAGAAGGAUCUGUGCAUCUUCUUGAUUAAGCCUCUGCCUUGAAAUCUCAAGAGUGCAGCUGACUGGAAGGUAAGACUUCUUCAUACACAUUUCAAGGAAGUAAGUUUUCUGGAACCAAGAGGAUGGCUACAUAACAUGAAUUGACCUCAUCAAGUUUUCAUCUGGCAGUUGUACGAGUGUCAACAAGCAGAUGCAGUGAAGAUUUUGCAGGGAGCCUUACUCACAUCGCAGACUGAGAGUUAAUAAAACAGAAGAGUUUGGGGGCAGCUUCAACAGUAGACCUAACCAGAGCUGCAUCCUGACCCCUGAAACAAAUAACUUGCCUUUUAUUUUUAUAACUUCUACGAGCUUCAGAAUUUAAGGAGUAGAGGCACUUUCUUCUGCUUUGCAUUGGUCUCUUAAAAUCAGGAUGUCUGAUACCGUGUGCUUCACAGGCUGCAGAAAUAAUUCUGAAUGCCUCAUUACCUGUCAGGAGAAUAUACUAAUAGGAGCUCUGUCUUCUAUUAUCAGAGCUCAAACAAAAUCUGUUCUCUGCCAAAAAUUAUCGCUUGCCUGUAGCAAAUCUUUUGUGCUCUUCAUUCUCCCACCACCUGUAAAUUGUAGGUUCACAGGCCCCGUAAAUAUGAUCUAUGCUAAAUAAUAAUGUUGCAGGGGUACUUUGGGUCCCAGAGAGGCAGUAGCUCAGGUUUAUUCUCAUCUGUAAGCAGCAGGCUGACUCGGCACUCACCAGUUCAAGCAUUGGCCAAACAAGGCCUGACUUCUUGCUCUUCCUCUCUCUUCUGCCUUGGCUGAUGUGGUGGGUACUUGCUUGUGGCCAUAGGGCCAAGAAGGAUAGCUCUGCCUCUGCUCUUGCAACAAGCUUUUGUAAUAUUGACACAGCCUGCACUGGCAACAGUGCAACGGAUUUUGCUGGGAGGGUGUGUAGGGACUUCCCUGAAUGAAGUAUGCUGAAAGAAUUUAAAAUUUUGCUGGUCUAAAUUUAAUUUUUUUUUUUUUUUGGUCUAACUGUUGCAUGCAAUCCAGUAGGCUGAAGUAAUAUACCAGUAAUUUUAUUUAUUUAUUUAUUUAGUGCAUAGACAUGAGAGAUGUGAACCUUGCAAUACUAAGAAGAAAAGUACCAAGGAAGAGGCUCUGGGUAGUCAAAAUGGUUUUUCAUUAACACUUUAAGAUAAAAUCCAGGCCAGGUAUAGACAAGGUAUUCUUCCUCAUUCUUUUGACAAUCGAGUCUUUUCUUGCUGCCCACUCAGUUAAUGGCCUUGGACAUAGAACUAAUGAUUUUCCCACCUGCUUUCCUGCUAGCCUGCCUUGCCCACACUUGUAUCCACAGCUCCUGCAUAGCACAGCUGCUAUGAUCGUUGUCUGUGUCCAAAGCCUCCAGCCUCAAAGUAAAGGAGGGAGACAGAAAAGGUUGAGAAACUCUGACUCGUGUUACAGAUGAGCUAGAAUUUUAUUUUUGUUGAGCAAUGUUGUUACAGAAGAGCUUUCUGAUUAGCUGUUUUAUCCUAAUUGAAUAGGAUUUUGUGUUGAAGAUGUUCUGCAGGGAUAUUUCAGUUCUCUUUGCAUGUGUGCAUGGAUGUAUGUUACCAGAGAAGCAUGUCAAUAGACCCUUACACUUUUAUAUGUGCACUUACAUUGGAAGAACAUAUGACUUUUAAUUUAGUGCUACUUUUACCUCUUGCAUUUACUGGUGGUCUUUCAUGGUGUUACAGUUCACUGAACACAGGAUUAAUUCAAUCACCACUUUAUUAACAAAAGAAAUCAUGAAAAAGCGAUCUAGCAUUCUUAAUAAGUAACACUGAAUUUCCUGAUAUGACUUGUCAUGCACUAUUUUAUUACAAAGUUGAUUGACAUUAUUCUGGUUACUAUUUACUGAAAGACCAGCUUUCUACUGGAGACUAAACAAUGUAUAAUCCCUGCAGAAACCUGAGCUGCUUAAAUUAAAGUCAGAUGUGAUGUAAAAGAGAGAGUUUCUGUUAUUCUUGGCUCAGUAAUAUGCGAUUAUGGUAAUUUCUACCAGCAUACUCAGUGCCUGUGUUUUUGUGACAGGACUGAAGGGGCCUGUGCUUGGCUGUUUCUCUUCCAUUAGUGACAGGAUAAUUUAACCACUUUAAUGUAGGCUAUAGACUUGCUGGCUCAGAGAUGUUGUUGCUGUCACUUGAGAGAUAGAGGAAAGGCAUGGAGGGUUUUUGAAAGCAAAGUGCUUUAUUAUGCACUGAGGCACAUAGGUACGUGAACACAUAGUUUGUUACUCUUCCCAAGUGACUGGAGUCUUCCUCAUGUUAAUGGCUAGCUCAAAGAAUGAGGCUGCUAAAAUCAUGCUGAUAGCUGCAGGUCCAGCUAAGUUUAGCAAAUUCCAAAUAGUGUCUCAGAAAUCACUGGCAGGAGACAUACACAGAACAGUAGGGAGCUGACAUACAUUGUGGCCCCUUAGCUGUUCAGAAAUUCCUGUGAAUACCAGUUGUGGGUAAAGGUUUCAAGUAUAUGACUAGAUCUGUUGAAAUAAUGCUAUAGAAUGAAAACAGAGGGAUUAUUAUUUAUUUAUUUUUUAAUAUUGCAAUCAUUUACUAUCAACCUUACAAGUAGGAAGAGGGAGAAAUAAAACCAAACCAAACCAAACAAAACAAAAACAAGCAAACAAACAAAAACCCACCUGGCUUUGUAUGCUGGUGGAGAGGAUAUUAUAUUCCCUCCAGCCAUACUGCAAACGUGAAAUUGUAGUGAAAAUACCUUUUUCACAGGACAGAAAAAUGCAGGUCUUGUAAUUUUCCUCAGCAUAGGAAAUAAGAGCAAAUGAAAUUAAACUAGAAUUAAGCUUUUCUCUUUACCUAAAAAGAAAUAAUAUAAACAACAGGAAAUGUGUAAUCUCUUUGCCAGACAUGAGAUUUUCUUACAUUUGCCAAAGCUAGCAGAGUAAUAAUAUUGUUUCUAUUGUCACAGGCAUCAUUAAACAGAGAACCUACAAUUUGCCUGGAAUACACAUUUCCUGAGUCAUAAUCACCAUUAACUUGAAUUAUAACUAUUUAUAUCUCAGAAUCUUCAUUCAUUAUAACUCUUCAUAUUUUUCUAAUUCCUACUAAUAAUUUGCAAGAUGAUGUUGCAGAAAGAUGUUCUUUUCUCCAGACAAUUGACAACAAAAAUUGAACACUGAGAUACAUGUAAAGCUAUAAUUCAAAUGUACAGAGAAACUUCCUUCAGCAGAUUCAGAGGUGUAAUGUGUUCUGCGUUCCCAGAAACGGUUGGUCACCCAUAUCGAGGCAGAAAAUAAAAGGUUCAGGGUGGUUCAUUUGCUACAUCCUAAGCACCCACCUCUCUUGGGGUCAUACAAUAUCUUCAGAAUUCAGAAAAAUGGCCCAUGGGUUGAUUUGCAAGUGUUAACUUUGUUUGAAAAUGACAAAAUCUUGAAUUACAAAAAUCUCGAGUAGGGUAAUUAUUUAGACAGCAGUGACGCAUUAACCAUAUACCAAUGCACAAUUGGUUGAUAAUACGUUUAUAUAUAAUUGCUUAGUGAAUUUUAAAGAGUACUGUCGUUGUUGCAUACUGUGUGAAGUUGAGUGUAACCACAUUGCAACUUUAUGUCAAAAAUAGCUAAGUUAUUUAUAUUUCCUAUCUCUUAACACUGCCCUCUCAGAAAGCCUCCUUUUUCACUGUGGCUGUUUCCAAUCAUGACUCUUCAGUUAACUGAAUAAAAUGAUGUCAGUUUAAAUGGAUAAAAGAAAAAAAAUACUUUAAUACAAUUUAAUGUCUGAGAACUCACUGUUCUGCAUAUUUCUGCAAAGUUUGUGUAAAGCUUCUGUUAUUAGGUUAAUUCAUCUCUGAGGGGUGUAAUAUUUUGUGACUCUGUAUAAUCCUU
This is a long non-coding RNA of Anas platyrhynchos (mallard), 4156 nucleotides long. RefSeq lists it as uncharacterized. Lineage: Eukaryota; Metazoa; Chordata; Aves; Anseriformes; Anatidae. The record is from RefSeq and is a predicted model, not a curated record.